AAGGACACCGCAAGAUUGAACCCAAAGCUAAGCACUUCUCCCAUUGCAAGAAAGAUCAAUCUAGUAGGCCAAACCAAACUGAUAAUUCGAAGAGACUUGCAAAGAUAACCAAUCAUACAUAAAAGAAUCUCGCGAGGGUGAGCUAACUCCAAAAACCCGUCCUCAGUUCGGAUUGCAGGCUGCAACUCGCCUGCAUGAAGCAGGAAUCGCUAGUAAUCGCCGGUCAGCCAUACGGCGGUGAAUCCGUUCCCGGGCCUU
This 258-nucleotide ribosomal RNA is filed under the name Triticum aestivum (bread wheat). Its description in RNAcentral is "rRNA SSU_rRNA_eukarya". It matches the Rfam family "Bacterial small subunit ribosomal RNA", at positions 1186 to 1382 of the family's 1533-position model. Lineage: Eukaryota; Viridiplantae; Streptophyta; Magnoliopsida; Poales; Poaceae. The record is from RNAcentral.